AGGAUAGAGGUCGCGUGUUUCAAGAGUAGACAGCCGGAUGCGCCAGACGCAGAAGAAAGCUGCCGGAAGGGAAACGCGCCGAAAGAAUCCGCCCUCUGGAGGCCGAUUCUUGGGCAUAAGGUGAAGAACCGUAUGACUGUCAUCGCAGGAUGGAGAGCUAUCUGA
Molecule: non-coding RNA, 165 nt
Filed under: chicken gut metagenome
Description: Lysine riboswitch
Rfam family: Lysine riboswitch aptamer
About the family: Riboswitches are metabolite binding domains within certain messenger RNAs that serve as precision sensors for their corresponding targets. Allosteric rearrangement of mRNA structure is mediated by ligand binding, and this results in modulation of gene expression. This family includes riboswitches that sense lysine in a number of genes involved in lysine metabolism, including lysC.
Source: RNAcentral